AUCAAAUUUAGACCAUUGGUCUACCGAGCAAUAGCACCCGCUGGUGGAAGAUCUUCCAUUUGUCGU
RNAcentral lists this microRNA precursor (66 nucleotides) under Bombyx mori (domestic silkworm). RNAcentral's name for it is "mir-2774 microRNA precursor family". It matches the Rfam family "mir-2774 microRNA precursor family". Lineage: Eukaryota; Metazoa; Arthropoda; Insecta; Lepidoptera; Bombycidae. The record is from Rfam by way of RNAcentral.